AACGCGAAGAACCUUACCAGGCCUUGACAUGCAGAGAACUUUCCAGAGAUGGAUUGGUGCCUUCGGGAACUCUGACACAGGUGCUGCAUAGCUGUCGUCAGCUCGUGUCGUGAGAUGUUGGGUUAAGUCCCGUAACGAGCGCAACCCUUGUCCUUAGUUACCAGCACGUUAAGGUGGGCACUCUAAGGAGACUGCCGGUGACAAACCGGAGGAAGGUGGGGAUGACGUCAAGUCAUCAUGGCCCUUACGGCCUGGGCUACACACGUGCUACAAUGGUCGGUACAAAGGGUUGCCAAGCCGCGAGGUGGAGCUAAUCCCAUAAAACCGAUCGUAGUCCGGAUCGCAGUCUGCAACUCACUGCGUGAAGUCGGAAUCGCUAG
This 380-nucleotide ribosomal RNA is filed under the name uncultured Pseudomonas sp. RNAcentral describes it as "bacterial SSU rRNA". It matches the Rfam family "Bacterial small subunit ribosomal RNA", at positions 958 to 1338 of the family's 1533-position model. Lineage: Bacteria; Pseudomonadati; Pseudomonadota; Gammaproteobacteria; Pseudomonadales; Pseudomonadaceae. The record is from RNAcentral.